Non-coding RNA from Microcebus murinus (gray mouse lemur), 2816 nucleotides. Lineage: Eukaryota; Metazoa; Chordata; Mammalia; Primates; Cheirogaleidae. The record is from RefSeq and is a predicted model, not a curated record.
UCUAAACUGUGAUAUGAAGGAUCAGCAUGAGUCAGCCCCGCAGAAGGGAAAGGGCAGUUGGGAAAUGCUCUGGGCGGAGCACACUGACACUGGCCGGAUGCUGUAGGGCCUGGAGCGGUUUUAGAAAAGGAGAGGCGGAAAAGGACUAGAUGAGGAGGACAAGUCAAACCUCAGGCCGGUCAUUCCAGAGAAGACAGCCUCUCACAGAAAGAAGGAAAGAAGAGGGACAGACGGACAGAAAGUCUGGAGCACGCAGCUGUUAGCAUUUGUUCAGCAGCUCAAGAGGGCCAGAGCUGGUGUAGUUGCCAUUCUCCUGGCCUGUCCGUCAUGGCUUCAAGAUGGCAGCUUCCAUUCCAGGCAUCGUGCCCACAGUGAGGGCAGGAGGAGAGCGGAAGGCCAGAGUCAGCUGCAGCUGUCCCUUUGUACGAGAAAAACAAAAGCUUUCCCUCAACCCCUUCCCCCGACCCACAGCUGAGUUCCACCUGGAUCUAUUGGCCAGAGCCAGAUUAUCUGGCCACCCCGCUUGCCAGGGAGGCUGGGAACACGAGCAGUUAGCUGUGCCCACGAUCUCUCGAGUCCAGGCAAGGGAGUGGGGUUGGGAGUGAACACAUGGCUACUAUUUUCGGGAGAGGGGUCUUGAGUCCUGAAUCAACUUUUCCUUAUUCCUGUGUUUACUGUUAUUUUUAUAUGUCUAACACAUCCUAAUUUUGAAGCAGAGUGGGAAAGUAAGAAAGAAUUAUGUGCCGAGGAUGAGUAAAGCUUUAUUUGCGAGGCUGCCUUACUAAGGAAGUGAGCUUCAGCUGUUUUGACAUCCCUGCCCUGAUGUUUUGGCUCAGCUCUGCUCAGUUAUCAGGUGCCAACUCCAGCUUCAGGGUCUGUGCUGCUGAGUGUCCUGUCUCCUCCUGUCCCUAAGGGGAUGGACCAGUCUCACCUUCAUCGAGACAAACACUUCAUUUGAGCUGAGAUGGCAGCAUACCUUGAGGCCACAGUUUCACCAGAGGCUGCCCGAUAUUCACACUGCUAUGGCAAAGAGCAGCAUAAUAUUCAACCAGCCCUCUGCACUCAUGUCCAGACGCUGGGCUUAUUCUGCACUGGCUGAUAAACAGCUGCUGCCUGGAGCCCCCAAGUCCUGCUUCCUUGGUCAUCUCAGCUCCUCCCUUAGGGACCCAACCCAAGCUCUCCUCCCAAUCCAACAACGGAGGGCUAAGGCUUGGCCUAGCGGGGGUCCUAGGAUGCUACUCCAGCCAGCACCUGGGCUACCCAUUCUGUGUCCACCCAUUUAGUAGUCAGAUGGCUCCAAUUUAUAAAUAUUUUUAAUAUCGCCCAUGGCAAAGAAUACUUGUUACUACCAUUACCUCUCAUUUCUCUUGACUGUCCAUGGCUGAAGGGCAAAUGGGUAAUGAUAACUAAUUCAAGAAACAGAGGUAGAUAAUUCUAUCACUGAUAGUCUUGGUUUCCUCAAGGCUAAUUAAUAAAUUUCUUGUUUGAAAAUUUGAGCUGCUCUGAUACUAUUUUUUUUCUCCUUAAAUAUUCAUGCUGUAAGUGAAAGGAGACAGACACGAAGCCCACUCUGUAGGAUUCCACUUACAUGGAGUUGGACAAGAGGCAGCGCUGAUCUAUGUUAUAGGUAGUGGUUACCCUGGGCGGGGGGUGCCGACAAGGAGGAAGCACAGAGAGGGCUUCUUAGGUGCUGCUCUUGGUCUUCUUUGUGUUCUAUGUGUUGAGAAUGCUAUUAAUAGCCGUUUAAUGCAAUACCAGGCCCCUCUUUUCUCCUCUCUCUCAGAACCCUGACUUCCUUGUCCAGCCAGCGGUGGCAUGCGCUAAGCUGACAACUGCACCUCCCAGCCUCCUUCCAGCUAGGGCUGGGCCAGGGAGAUGUCCGCGAUAGUCCUUGAUGAGACAUCCAGGAAAUCCCCUUCAGGUGGACAGGCUUUGUGGGCUGCACCCUCCACCCCUCCCUAAGUGCACUGAAGGAUACAUUGCCAGGAGCCUUCAUCAUCCCAAAUGUCCAUUCACAGGCUUGCAUGAAAAAGUCGCCUAGAUGCUGCCUGUUCAACAAAUACAGAGCGCUUACUACCUACCAGUUGGGUGUGUGCUAAUCAGAUGUUACAGAUGCAGAUGCCCCAAAGCCAGGCCUGUAAUUGGCGAUGUGGACCUGGGGUCAAGGACAAAAGCAGGUGAGCCAGAGGACCUCGAUCCUGGCACACAAGGAGGAUGGGGAGAGCCACUGCUAAGCUGUAGCAGAUAUUUGAAGUUCAAAUCUCAAGUUGCAAGAUCUUCCGACUUUUCAAGAGAAGCAGAAAAUCUUGAUUUUAUUUUUCAAAAUUAACUUUGCCAGAAAGCAAAGUUAAUCUAGCUGUGGCAGAGUAAAACUGGACAAAAUUGUUGUAUUAAUUUUCUGUUGCUGCAUAACAAAUUACUGCAAACCUAGCAGCUUAAAUAACACAAAUUUAUUAUCACCUAGUUCUAUAGGUCUGAAGUCCAGGUAGACUUGACUGGGUUCUCUGCUUAGGGCCUUACAAGCUGAAAUCAAGUGCUGGCCAGAUUGGGCUCUUAUCUGGAGGCUCUGAGAAAGAAUCUGCUUUGUUCAGGUUGUUGGAAGAAUUCAAUUCCUUGCAGCUGCAGGACUGAUGUUCUGUUUCCUAGCUGUUGGGGAGGGAUCGCAUAGCUUCUAGAGGUUUCACUCUGGUCCUUCCUAUGUGGUCCUCCAUCUUCACAGCCAGCAAUGGAAUAUUAAAUUCUUCUCAUGCUUUGAAUAUCUCCGACUUCCCCCUUCUGCCCACCAGGAGGAGAAUUCUCUGCUUUUAAAAAGUUCA